Molecule: ribosomal RNA, 20 nt
Filed under: Paraphaeosphaeria michotii
Lineage: Eukaryota; Fungi; Ascomycota; Dothideomycetes; Pleosporales; Didymosphaeriaceae
Description: partial 28S ribosomal RNA
Source: RNAcentral
UUUGACCUCGGAUCAGUAGG